AGUAAUUGGGGUAGCCUGUGCCUGGGGAGAGGUGUAAUAGUGAAGUGGUGUUAACUCUUGUGAUGGGACCUUAGAGCCUAGGAAGGCUGCCCUGGAUCUGCCCGUUUCAGAAGAGUAACAGCUGGUGGUGAGCAGAGCUGGCUGAAUAAGGACUGGCUCAGAAUGUGCCACAGAUGUACAUAGCACUUUAAAAAGAUGAGAGGCUCGACUGUGAUCAUGCAUCAGUUUUACAUGGGUGUUCAAAUGGAAACAGCUCAUUCAAGUGCUGCGAGGGCCAAGACUUCAAAAGAGAAGGGCUGCUGCUGGAAUGAGUGACUGUGUGUGUCAGGCAAAAGCAGGGUCGUCCGCUUGGAACCAAAGUGAACAGUUGCUUUCUGCCUCCACAGACUGAGGCAUCAAUUUGGUUAAUAUGAUGGUGGUCAGCAGCUAGGGGCUGGAAAAACUAUACAUGGAAUAAACAAAUUAAUCCAGUACUCCAAGACAGACAAAACAAAGCCUUUCCAAAGUGUUUUUCUCAAAGUUGUUAUUUAAAGCUUUCAUGUGGCUUUCACCCACAUUGCAUGGCAUGGGGCAUGACUGAGGUAUACAAAGGCAUCUAGGUACUAGGUCAAAUGGGGAAGAUGUUGCCUGAAUUUAGCAGCAAUCACUAGAUGUUGUUCAUUUAUAAAGUCUGCUUGUUUCCAGUGCUAUACCACAAAACCCCUUUGUGUGGGAUGCAACAUGUGAGGCAGGUUUCCCCCUCCUGCAUAAAAUCCCACAGGAAGGAACCCUGGGAAAGGGGAUAGGGCUUUCUUUGAGUUCUUUCACUGGGAAUAUGGGAUGCAGAACAAGUCGGGGUCUUGGUCCUCUAAUCUUCUGAAUGGAUCUUCAGGGAAUAUGCUGAAGGUACAGGUCCAUCAGGGUGAAGAUUCUAUGCCCAUGCACUGGCUUAGAGCCCCUCUCUCCUGAGCAGCCUGGCAGUGUGGCUCCAGCAGAGCCCAGCUAGAGUUUGGCUGCCCUGAAAUCCUCUAAGAGCGUUCCACAGCUCUGAGAGAGCAUCAUGAGACUACUACAUUGCCAAUGUGGAAUCCAUGCACUGCUGUGGCAGAGGAGGCGAUGAUGCACAGGGCCACCAUAGAAGAAUGAAGGGAAGAACUGACCCAUCUUGCAUCUGUAACUGUGGUUCCAAGGAAUCCAGCCAUUCCAAACCUUCUGCUCAGACUACUAAGCCACUAAUUCAGACCAGGUUACCAGUAGGCCGAGUAUAGGAUGCUGCACAAUUGUCCUUGAGUUUGUCUGUUCUAGUGACCUUAGCCAGAGUUCAGAUACAUCAAGAGCCCUACGUAGCGACGGAAGUCAAGGCUAUUAGUUGAAUACGAAAUAAGUCCUUGAGUAAAAUGAGAAGGAUUUGGCUUUAGAUUUUACACAAACGGAAACUUCUGUUGCUGAUCUGUCAGCGGACACAAAAUGCUAACAUUUUUGUUCUGAAAAGUGUCAUUGAGUGGCGGUAAAGAUUGCUGUAGCUUUGGAGAGCAAUAAAAUAGAGCAACAAGAAACAGGACAAAUCCACUUCCGCUUGGGAUGUAGGAAAGUUUUAUUUUAGAAUGUCCGACUGUUGAGACUCCUCCGUGUACUUAGACAGUGCAUAUGAAACUAAUUAUGGGGAAGGUGACUGAUGGACAAAGUUUACUGGCUUGUGUUAUACAGUCCAGAAAACAUUACAUGACCAUUCCCAGCUGUUGUUCCAACUGGGUACCACCAGCUGUCACAUCAAAUCACAUCACAAAAUAAGAAUAAAGAAAUCCCCCAUAUGCUCCCUCCCUAAAAAACUUUAAAGCCAGUGUUUUUUUUUCAUGAACGCUGAUUCAUCUGAUUACACUUUACCUUCCAGGAAACAGAUGGUAAACACAGGGCAAACUCACGCCAGCAUGCUAACCAAUAAUUCUUGUUUUGAAAACUGCAUCUAAGCUGUCAACUUCAUUUGGGCAGCACUUGGCUUUCUCAAAAGAUUCCUCAGAAUCCAGAUUUUUAAUAUGUGAAAUACAGUAAACAUGGGCAUUAGCUGAGCACUUGCUUAAGGGACGCUUUGCUUUAAAUCCUUUUCCAAUCCAUUUUAACCAAUAACUAAAUCCCUUCCAUAACGAGAACCUGCACUGGACAUCUUCCACAAGUUAGUUGUACUAAAUUGAGAGAGUAUAAUCUAACCCCCCUUGCCCCCUCAGGUUCCAGCAGCUCGGUCCAGGUGAAAGAGAAAUUCUUUGGGGCUGCACUGUGUAUAAUUACCACCACCCCUUUCUGGUCAGCUGGAAGGGCAGUCCCCCCACACCUGGUCCAGCUGCUUCCUGCUUCUACCCACUCUGUCUGGGUAAACUUUUUCCUUCCUACCUCUCUGCUACCAGUUGCCCAGGGAGCCAUUAAAAAAGCAACAACCCCUUUUCUUUCACCCAGAUGGCCGUGGACCCCCCACAUACAGCUGCAGUGAGCACUUUACAAGUACUGCUAGUCAAAUAUAUUAUUCAGAAAAUUUUGUUUAUUUACGUAAAAUACUUUGUGACAAAUUAUGUUUUGCCGUAUUCAGACAGCUCUCUAUGCUGAUCAAAUGCUCUAAGCACUCUAUAGGAACUCAGGGUUUUAUUAAUAUUAAUUAUCCUAUAUAAUGAACAAAUAAUUUAUUUAGCAAAUACCAUCAUUAAAGACUCUUUUUUUCUGUUACUUGACCAAUUAUUGCAAUCAUCUUGCAUGACUGGGAUCUAAUUGCAAUUUAAAAUGCAAGAGUCAUUUAGCUGUACAGCAGUGCUGAGUUUCACUUAGUCAAUAAAAUUGGAUGCUUU
Long non-coding RNA from Chelonia mydas (Green sea turtle), 2810 nucleotides. RefSeq lists it as uncharacterized. Lineage: Eukaryota; Metazoa; Chordata; Testudines; Cheloniidae. The record is from RefSeq and is a predicted model, not a curated record. The transcript is spliced from 4 exons.